AAUUUUUAAAUAUUUUCCAAUAUUUGAAACGUUGCAUUUAAAUUGCUGUUUUUUGAACGAAUGAAUUUUACAAGAAUUCUAACGAAGACAGGGAGACCACACAUGAAGGGACAAGAAGAGAUGAAGAAGAAAAAGCGAAAGAGCUCACGAUACGAAAUCAGUCCUUGUAUGAUAAAUCCGAAGCUCCGGCAACUCUCAAGUAGUUCUUCAAAUCUUUCUGCAUACAUUUUACAUCUUUACAAAAACUAUAGAAUUCUACCUUCGUUGAGAAAGUAAAAAAGAAAAAAAUAAAGUAAAAAGACGUAGAAAGGACAUAUCUGAAAAUUAUAUGAACGUAUUAAUAUCUGUAGAAGUAGCUUUAGUCAAAAGAAAAGUAAAAUUAUCCACCAAUAAGGAGAAGUAAAAUCGCUGACAGAUUGGUUAGACAUGGUAUGAAUAAAAGCGAAUGUUCUCGAUGGUAAUUGGAAUUUGGUUUAAUUCCAGGUCGAAGGCAAAUGUAACGAGAAUCUUAAAACAGCGUCGUGUGUGGUCUCAAUGGCAGUGCCGUCAGUCAAAAUCUCUCCCGACCUCUCCAUCUCCGUUGAAUCCAAAGUUUUCUGGCUGCUUGAGCGGAUCUGUUUCUUGUGCGCGCUUGCGCGCAAAUUUAUCUAUCCUUUUCUUUCCCUUUCGUACAUGGGACACGUUCAGCAAAUCAAAAUACGAUGGCAGUAAAAGAAGAGCACAGAAGCGGUUGCCUGAACGAAUAUCAGCGGUCGUCGUUGCCAACAACGAUGCUAUAGUCGCGAAGUAAAGAGAUCGACUCCAGAAAUACAUCCCGAGACCAGGGUAGAA
Long non-coding RNA from Frieseomelitta varia, 831 nucleotides. RefSeq lists it as uncharacterized. Lineage: Eukaryota; Metazoa; Arthropoda; Insecta; Hymenoptera; Apidae. The record is from RefSeq and is a predicted model, not a curated record. The transcript is spliced from 2 exons.